CCUACGGGAGGCAGCAGUGAGGAAUAUUGGACAAUGGGCGCAAGCCUGAUCCAGCCAUGCCGCGUGCAGGAUGACGGUCCUAUGGAUUGUAAACUGCUUUUAUACGAGAAGAAACACUCCGACGUGUCGGAGCUUGACGGUAUCGUAAGAAUAAGGAUCGGCUAACUCCGUGCCAGCAGCCGCGGUAAUACGGAGGAUCCAAGCGUUAUCCGGAAUCAUUGGGUUUAAAGGGUCCGUAGGCGGUUUAAUAAGUCAGUGGUGAAAGCUCAUCGCUCAACGGUGGAACGGCCAUUGAUACUGUUAAACUUGAAUUAUUAGGAAGUAACUAGAAUAUGUAGUGUAGCGGUGAAAUGCUUAGAGAUUACAUGGAAUACCAAUUGCGAAGGCAGGUUACUACUAAUUGAUUGACGCUGAUGGACGAAAGCGUGGGUAGCGAACAGGAUUAGAUACCCUGGUAGUCCACGCCGUAAACGAUGGAUACUAGCUGUUGGGAGCAAUCUCAGUGGCUAAGCGAAAGUGAUAAGUAUCCCACCUGGGGAAGUACGUUCGCAAGAAUUGAAAACCUANAAAGUUGAGUAGAGGNGNGAGAGNGCGACGACGACGACGAGGAGGAGG
RNAcentral lists this ribosomal RNA (615 nucleotides) under uncultured bacterium. RNAcentral's name for it is "bacterial SSU rRNA". It matches the Rfam family "Bacterial small subunit ribosomal RNA", at positions 338 to 956 of the family's 1533-position model. The record is from RNAcentral.